Molecule: non-coding RNA, 152 nt
Organism: Pelobates cultripes (western spadefoot toad)
Lineage: Eukaryota; Metazoa; Chordata; Amphibia; Anura; Pelobatidae
Source: the annotation of a GenBank genome assembly
AUGUAUGUAUCUCUAUGUAUGCAUGUCUUUCUGUCUAUCUAUCUCUAUUUAUCUAUCUGUCUGUCUAUCUAUCUAUCUAUAUAUCGUACUAGAGAGAUAGAUAGAGAGAGAUAGAUCGAUAGAUAGACAGACAGACAGACAGAUAGAUAGAU